GGAGGUUUAGCUCAGCUGGGAGAGCAUCUGCCUUACAAGCAGAGGGUCAUAGGUUCGAGCCCUAUAGCCUCCA
This 73-nucleotide transfer RNA is filed under the name Paenalicyclobacillus contaminans. RNAcentral's name for it is "Alicyclobacillus contaminans tRNA-Val". It matches the Rfam family "tRNA". Rfam says of the family: Transfer RNA (tRNA) molecules are approximately 80 nucleotides in length. Their secondary structure includes four short double-helical elements and three loops (D, anti-codon, and T loops). Lineage: Bacteria; Bacillati; Bacillota; Bacilli; Caryophanales; Alicyclobacillaceae. RNAcentral also lists the same sequence under 1 other name. The record is from RNAcentral.